CAUUGUGAACCUACCUUCAACCGUUGCUUCGGCGGGUUGGCACCGGGUCUCCCGGCGCCCCCGGCCCCCUCGCGGGGCGGCCCGCCGGAGGUACCUAACUCUUGAACAUUGUAUGGCCUCUCUGAGUCUUCUGUACUGAAUAAGUCAAAACUUUCAACAACGGAUCUCUUGGUUCUGGCAUCGAUGAAGAACGCAGCGAAAUGCGAUAAGUAAUGUGAAUUGCAGAAUUCAGUGAAUCAUCGAAUCUUUGAACGCACAUUGCGCCCGCCAGUAUUCUGGCGGGCAUGCCUGUUCGAGCGUCAUUUCAACCAUCAAGCCCUGGGCUUGUGUUGGGGACCUGCGGCUGCCGCAGGCCCUGAAAUGCAGUGGCGGGCUCGCUGUCACACCGAGCGUAGUAGCAUUAUCUCGCUCUGGGCGUGCUGCGUGUCCCGGCCGUAAAACGACCUUACACCCAAGGUUGACCUCGGAUCAGGU
This 474-nucleotide ribosomal RNA is filed under the name Ascomycota sp. 3-RNK. RNAcentral describes it as "eukaryotic LSU rRNA". The stretch from base 149 to 302 matches the Rfam family "5.8S ribosomal RNA". Lineage: Eukaryota; Fungi; Ascomycota. The record is from RNAcentral.